CCGGUGAUCGCAAUACGCAUGGAUGUCCGUAAAAUAAACUAUUAUCUGAAUUUACAUGUUAAACACGUGCUCAAUUUCCAUGCGUGUUUGUUGAUUUUUUGUUGAUUGUUGACAAACAGGUGACAAUCGUUAAACUUCGGCUUCAAAACACGAACUUUAAUUACUGCCCAUUUUCACAACAACACUGACCGAUUGAAAAAAAAAUGACGAUUGUACGAAAAUUUAUGCGAAAAAAUGAAAAAUUCUUGAAC
This 251-nucleotide long non-coding RNA is filed under the name Mytilus galloprovincialis (Mediterranean mussel). Lineage: Eukaryota; Metazoa; Mollusca; Bivalvia; Mytilida; Mytilidae. The record is from RNAcentral.